CCUACGGGAGGCAGCAGUGAGGCAUAUUGGUCAAUGGACGAGAGUCUGAACCAGCCAAGUCGCGUGAAGGAUGACUGCCCUAUGGGUUGUAAACUUCUUUUAUAUGGGAAUAAAAUGUUCCACGUGUGGGAUUUUGUAUGUACCAUAUGAAUAAGGAUCGGCUAACUCCGUGCCAGCAGCCGCGGUAAUACGGAGGAUCCGAGCGUUAUCCGGAUUUAUUGGGUUUAAAGGGAGCGUAGGUGGAUUGUUAAGUCAGUUGUGAAAGUUUGCGGCUCAACCGUAAAAUUGCAGUUGAAACUGGCAGUCUUGAGUACAGGAGAGGUGGGCGGAAUUCGUGGUGUAGCGGUGAAAUGCUUAGAUAUCACGAAGAACUCCGAUUGCGAAGGCAGUUCACUGGACUGCAACUGACACUGAGGCUCGAAAGUGUGGGUAUCAAACAGGAUUAGAUACCCCUGUAGUC
This 460-nucleotide ribosomal RNA is filed under the name uncultured bacterium. Its description in RNAcentral is "partial 16S ribosomal RNA". It matches the Rfam family "Bacterial small subunit ribosomal RNA", at positions 338 to 795 of the family's 1533-position model. The record is from RNAcentral.